UAUGUUAUGAUUAAUUUAUAAUUUUAAAAUUUCUGGCAUAUUUUUUUAAAGUGCAAUUGAAUAUUUUAUUACAUGAUUUAUAUUCAUGUAAAAAGUUAGAAAAUACCGAGGGGGAUACUCAACCACCAGUCCAUCAUUUACAUGUUACGGAACAAAGACAAAAAGAAGAAAAAUAACCAUCCGAUUCAGUACACAAAACAC
RNAcentral lists this long non-coding RNA (201 nucleotides) under Mytilus galloprovincialis (Mediterranean mussel). The record is from RNAcentral. Lineage: Eukaryota; Metazoa; Mollusca; Bivalvia; Mytilida; Mytilidae.